This 419-nucleotide long non-coding RNA is filed under the name Drosophila guanche. The record is from RNAcentral. Lineage: Eukaryota; Metazoa; Arthropoda; Insecta; Diptera; Drosophilidae.
GCGACAUAAAUCAUUGUGAUUGACAGCCGCUGACCAUGAUAGUGGACGAGGAGGUGGAGUGCUGGUGUGCUUGUGUGCUGGUGGAAAGUGCCCGCAACUAAACUCAUUUAAAUUCCAUUUCAAUUGGCCGAAAAAAAGGCAAUAAUAAAUAAAGCGAAAACAUUUCACGCGCUAAUUACAGGGUGCCAUCGGAGUGAGAGAGAGAGAGAGAGAGAGAGACUGGAGCACUCUGGACACAGAUCAAUCAUAUGGGUAGACCAUGGAUCACGUCUUCCCAACUGCCCGAUGGCUGUGUAAUUGAAACAAAUGCGCAGCUGUGUACAGAAAUUAUUUCAUCAACUGAAAGUUUCGAUUAAAGUAAGUGAGAAAGGGCUUGAUGAACUAGACGAUGGCCUAACUACAGGAUUGGGUGAGACAAU